This 794-nucleotide ribosomal RNA is filed under the name uncultured Bacteroidota bacterium. RNAcentral describes it as "bacterial SSU rRNA". It matches the Rfam family "Bacterial small subunit ribosomal RNA", at positions 67 to 857 of the family's 1533-position model. Lineage: Bacteria; Pseudomonadati; Bacteroidota. The record is from RNAcentral.
ACGACAGGGAAGCUUGCUUCCUUGGGCGUCGACCGGCGCACGGGUGAGUAACGCGUAUCCAACCUGCCUCUGACUGAGGGAUAACCCGUCGAAAGUCGGCCUAAUACCUCAUGGCAUCGUCUGCGGGCAUCCAACGACGAUUAAAGAUUUCAUCGGUCAGGGAUGGGGAUGCGUCUGAUUAGCUGGUUGGCGGGGUAACGGCCCACCAAGGCGACGAUCAGUAGGGGUUCUGAGAGGAAGGUCCCCCACAUUGGAACUGAGACACGGUCCAAACUCCUACGGGAGGCAGCAGUNAGGAAUAUUGGUCAAUGGGCGAGAGCUGAACCAGCCAAGUAGCGUGCAGGAUGACGGCCCUAUGGGUUGUAAACUGCUUUUAUGCGGGGAUAAAGUGAGGGACGUGUCCUUCAUUGCAGGUACCGCAUGAAUAAGGACCGGCUAAUUCCGUGCCAGCAGCCGCGGUAAUACGGAAGGUCCGGGCGUUAUCCGGAUUUAUUGGGUUUAAAGGGAGCGUAGGCCGUGGAUUAAGCGUGUUGUGAAAUGCAGGUGCUCAACGUCUGCACUGCAGCGCGAACUGGUCCACUUGAGUGUGCGCAACGCAGGCGGAAUUCGUCGUGUAGCGGUGAAAUGCUUAGAUAUGACGAAGAACUCCGAUUGCGAAGGCAGCUUGCGGGAGCACAACUGACGCUGAAGCUCGAAAGUGCGGGUAUCGAACAGGAUUAGAUACCCUGGUAGUCCGCACGGUAAACGAUGGAUGCCCGUUGUCAGGCUGUUUCAGCCUGGUGACCAAGCGAAAG